GAGGAAUAUUGGUCAAUGGACGAGAGUCUGAACCAGCCAAGUAGCGUGAAGGAUGACUGCCCUAUGGGUUGUAAACUUCUUUUAUAUGGGAAUAAAGUGUUCCCACGUGUGGGAUUUUGUAUGUACCAUAUGAAUAAGGAUCGGCUAACUCC
This 152-nucleotide ribosomal RNA is filed under the name uncultured bacterium. RNAcentral describes it as "partial 16S ribosomal RNA". It matches the Rfam family "Bacterial small subunit ribosomal RNA", at positions 356 to 504 of the family's 1533-position model. The record is from RNAcentral.